AAUAAGCGCAACCAUAAGUUUCCGUGUCCAAUUUUUAUCUUCCGUCUUAUUUGAAAUUUUUUUAUGAUUAGUAUUUUUAUUGUUAUUAGAUUAUAAAACAUGAAUACAUAUGUUUUUGUAUUUUUUUAAAAAAAUAUUAAAUAAGACGAACGAUUAAAGUUGGACACGGAAACUCAUGACUGCGAUUAUU
This 190-nucleotide microRNA precursor is filed under the name Oryza rufipogon (brownbeard rice). RNAcentral's name for it is "MIR812 microRNA precursor family". It matches the Rfam family "MIR812 microRNA precursor family". The record is from Rfam by way of RNAcentral. Lineage: Eukaryota; Viridiplantae; Streptophyta; Magnoliopsida; Poales; Poaceae.